This 465-nucleotide ribosomal RNA is filed under the name Vreelandella stevensii. Its description in RNAcentral is "partial 16S ribosomal RNA". It matches the Rfam family "Bacterial small subunit ribosomal RNA", at positions 338 to 795 of the family's 1533-position model. The record is from RNAcentral. Lineage: Bacteria; Pseudomonadati; Pseudomonadota; Gammaproteobacteria; Oceanospirillales; Halomonadaceae.
CCUACGGGGGGCUGCAGUGGGGAAUAUUGGACAAUGGGGGCAACCCUGAUCCAGCCAUGCCGCGUGUGUGAAGAAGGCCCUCGGGUUGUAAAGCACUUUCAGUGAGGAAGAACGCCUGGUGGUUAAUACCCAUCAGGAAAGACAUCACUCACAGAAGAAGCACCGGCUAACUCCGUGCCUGCAGCCGCGGUAAUACGGAGGGUGCGAGCGUUAAUCGGAAUUACUGGGCGUAAAGCGCGCGUAGGUGGCUUGAUAAGCCGGUUGUGAAAGCCCCGGGCUCAACCUGGGAACGGCAUCCGGAACUGUCAAGCUAGAGUGCAGGAGAGGAAGGUAGAAUUCCCGGUGUAGCGGUGAAAUGCGUAGAGAUCGGGAGGAAUACCAGUGGCGAAGGCGGCCUUCUGGACUGACACUGACACUGAGGUGCGAAAGCGUGGGUAGCAAACAGGAUUAGAUACCCUAGUAGUC